RNAcentral lists this ribosomal RNA (435 nucleotides) under uncultured bacterium. RNAcentral describes it as "partial 16S ribosomal RNA". It matches the Rfam family "Bacterial small subunit ribosomal RNA", at positions 29 to 507 of the family's 1533-position model. The record is from RNAcentral.
AGCGAACGCUGGCGGCAGGCUUAACACAUGCAAGUCGAACGGGCAUAGCAAUAUGUCAGUGGCAGACGGGUGAGUAACGCGUGGGAACGUACCUUUUGGUUCGGAACAACACAGGGAAACUUGUGCUAAUACCGGAUAAGCCCUUACGGGGAAAGAUUUAUCGCCGAAAGAUCGGCCCGCGUCUGAUUAGCUAGUUGGUAGGGUAAUGGCCUACCAAGGCGACGAUCAGUAGCUGGUCUGAGAGGAUGAUCAGCCACAUUGGGACUGAGACACGGCCCAAACUCCUACGGGAGGCAGCAGUGGGGAAUAUUGGACAAGGGGCGAAAGCCUGAUCCAGCCAUGCCGCGUGAGUGAUGAAGGCCUUAGGGUUGUAAAGCUCUUUUGUGCGGGAAGAUAAUGACGGUACCGAAAGAAUAAGCCCCGGCUAACUUCGUG